GACGAACCGUCCAAACGUUAUUCGGAAUUACUGGGCUUAAAGGGUGCGUAGGCGGCGCGGUAAGUUGGGUGUGAAAUCCCUCGGCUCAACCGAGGAAUAGCGCCCAAAACUACCGUGCUCGAGGGAGACAGAGGUGAGCGGAACUGAUGGUGGAGCGGUGAAAUGCUUUGAUAUCAUCAGGAACACCGGUGGCGAAAGCGGCUCACUGGGUCUUUUCUGACGCUGAGGCACGAAAGCUAGGGGAGCAAACAGG
Molecule: unclassified non-coding RNA, 253 nt
Filed under: uncultured Pirellulaceae bacterium
Lineage: Bacteria; Pseudomonadati; Planctomycetota; Planctomycetia; Pirellulales; Pirellulaceae
Description: contains 16S-23S intergenic spacer region
Rfam family: Bacterial small subunit ribosomal RNA
Source: RNAcentral